RNAcentral lists this ribosomal RNA (189 nucleotides) under uncultured bacterium. Its description in RNAcentral is "partial 16S ribosomal RNA". It matches the Rfam family "Bacterial small subunit ribosomal RNA", at positions 338 to 524 of the family's 1533-position model. The record is from RNAcentral.
CCUACGGGAGGCAGCAGUGAGGAAUAUUGGUCAAUGGGCGCGAGCCUGAACCAGCCAAGUAGCGUGAAGGAUGACUGCCCUAUGGGUUGUAAACUUCUUUUAUACGGGAAUAACGGGUGCCACGCGUGGUGCCGUGCAUGUACCGUACGAAUAAGCAUCGGCUAAUUCCGUGCCAGCAGCCGCGGUAAU